Long non-coding RNA from Passer montanus (Eurasian tree sparrow), 1671 nucleotides. RefSeq lists it as uncharacterized. NCBI's taxonomy places the organism in Eukaryota, Metazoa, Chordata, Aves, Passeriformes, Passeridae. The record is from RefSeq and is a predicted model, not a curated record. The transcript is spliced from 3 exons.
UGAGCAGAUCCCUCCAGGUGAGCAGGUCCAGGUGAACAGAUCCCUCAAGGUGAGCAGGUCCAGGUGAGCAGAUCCUGGGAGUGCUCAGGUGAACAGAUCCCUCAAGGUGAGCAGAUCCAGGGGCAAAGAUCCCUCAAGGUGAGCAGAUCCAUGUGAGCAGAUCCAUGUGAGCAGAUCCAGGUGAGCAGGUCCCUCAAGGUGAGCAGAUUCCACAAGGUGAGCAGGUCCAGGUGAGCAGGUCCCUCAAGGUGAGCAGAUCCAGGUGAGCAGAUCCAUGUGCAGGUCCAGGUGAGCAGGUCCCUCCAGGUGAGCAGACCCCUCAAGGUGAGCAGAUCCAGGUGAGCAGAUCCCUCAAGGUGAGCAGGUCCACGUGAGCAGAUCCAGGGGCACAGAUCCCUCAAGGUGAGCAGGUCCAGGCGCACAGAUCUCUCAAGGUGAGCAGAUCCCUCAAGGUGAGCAGGUCCAGGUGAGCAGAUCCCUCAAGGUGAGCAGGUCCAGGUGAGCAGAUCCCACAGUCUGUAGGGUCCAGGUGAGCAGAACGUAGGAUUUGGGGCACAGACCCAAGCAGGUGAGCAGAUUCCAGAAUCCAAGAGCUUCCAGGUGAGCAAAUCCACAGGCAGCCCCACCCCACAGCCCCCUUUGCCCCCCUCCUGCCUCUUCCAGGCUGGAAUUGCUGCUGGGCCAGGUUGAUCUCACCUGGCUGAAGCCAAAAAAGAGGCAAAAGCCCCAGAAACGAGAAGUUUCACCCCAAGACAGACCCCAGGGCUGCAGGAAGGUCCGGAGCACAGGUGGGUUUUCCAUGAAUCCCAGUCCAAGGAAGGGCUGGAGGGACCAGGUGAGCCUGGAGAACCUGAAUCCAUCCCAGUCUGACCAGUCUGAUGCCAGUGGAGAGCCCAGAGCCAGAAGGACACAGGUGAGCAGGAAGCACCUGAGGAGCAGCACAGGGAGCUCCAGAGCAGCAGGAGCAGCAGGAGCUGACACCUGGGCACACCUGCAGGGCCCCGUGGGAUGGAUCCCGAGGGCAGGAAUGGCAGGAACAGCUCUUUGGGAAACACAGCCAGGUGAGGGUCACCUGCAGGGAUGGAUGGAGCUCACCUGGGAUGGGCAAGGAGGCAGCUGAGAGCCCCAGGCCCAGGUGACAUCGCACCCAUGGGGUAACAGGGACACUCCUGCACAUCCCAAAUCCUGCUCCUGGAGGGGCAGCUCCAACCCCCCAGCAGGGCAUGAACAUCCCAGAGGGUUCCCACAGGUACAGGUGAUCACUUCCAGGUGAUGGAGGAGGUGAAGUUGGUUCAACCCCCCAAAAUGUUCCAGGUGAGUUUGGGAAUUCCAGUCCUGGGUCUCUUGUGCCAGUUCCAGGUGUUCCCCAAUCCAUCCCAGCUGCAGGGGAGUGGGAGCAUCACCUGGAUGAGGUGGGAUGGGAGGCAGCCCAGUGAGACAUUCAUGAAACAAACAGCAAUUAGGGAAAAAGGACUUUUCCCUUAAAAACAAGGAAAAUGGAGGCAGCCAGGGGGGACAGAGCUGCCACGGGACCCAGGAGGUGCAGCUCAGGUGAGUCCUGGCACAGGUGAUCUCUGCCAGGUGGGAUGGAGAACAGGAAGGCUCCCAGAGGUGCAGCUCAGGUGAGUCCUGGCACAGGUGAGCCCCACCAGCUGGGAUGGAGAACAGGAA